This 839-nucleotide unclassified non-coding RNA is filed under the name Hevea brasiliensis (rubber tree). Lineage: Eukaryota; Viridiplantae; Streptophyta; Magnoliopsida; Malpighiales; Euphorbiaceae. The record is from RNAcentral.
CUUCUUCUUCUUCUUCUUCAAUCUAGUGCACUGGAUUUAUUGUCACGAAAGAAAUGAAGACGGUCAGUAACAUGCCAGCUUACAAAGCUUGCUGGAGACAUCCAAUGGUUUAUUUGAUGAACUUCAUAGAUGGCUUUUGAUGACUGAAUCAUGUCAUUUAGCAUGACUUAAGCCUGUGGUUAGAACCUUUUAUUCUGACAAAAAUCAUCAGAUCAGAAUAAACUCAUCAAUUGCAGCUCUAUAAAUUUGAUAGGAGAUAAUCCCUGAAAAUUUUAGGUGAACUGUUAGAUUUAUGAAAGAUCAUUUUCCUAAUUUGAUUGGGAGAAAUAUUUUCCUAAUUCCUCAUAGAAAUAUUUUCCUAUAUAAAGUCAAAUUUUUAUUUUAAUGUUAUUUUGAAAUUGAGUAGAGUAAAAAGAUUAUUAGGUUUUCAACUCAUGUUGUGAGACUGUGCCUAGAGAAGGAGAUUUAGCUUUGCCUAUUGAUGGAGGGCUCUUGCCCAUUGUAGUCCUAUGGAGGAACAGUUCAACGUAAGGUGAAGAGGGCUCUUGUCUAUUUCAGUUUUAUAGAAGAAAAGUAGUUUCAACUUAAGGUGGCGAAAGGAUAUGGAAUUCAAGACUUUGUGGUUAAGUAGUUAAAAUAGUAAAUGCAUUAGGUUAUGUAUAGAGGGACUAACUAAUGUAUUUAGUCUGAGCAAUGUAAGGAUUUUCUUGGGUGUAAUUGAGUUAAGGGUAAAUGUUUUUGAGUUUGUAAUUUAUGAUUUAUUUUAUUAAUAACAGAAGAUGUUAUACUAUGGAUGUAGCCUACAUAGAGAGGGUGAACCAUAUAAAUAUUGGUGUUUU